This 208-nucleotide ribosomal RNA is filed under the name uncultured bacterium. RNAcentral describes it as "partial 16S ribosomal RNA". It matches the Rfam family "Bacterial small subunit ribosomal RNA", at positions 568 to 775 of the family's 1533-position model. The record is from RNAcentral.
UGCGUAGGCGGUUACUUAAGUAGGGUGUGAAAUGUCCCGGCUCAACCGGGGAAUGGCGCUCUAAACUGGGUGGCUUGAGUGAGAUAGAGGUGUGCGGAACUUCCGGUGGAGCGGUGAAAUGUGUUGAUAUCGGAGGGAACACCAGUGGCGAAGGCGGCUCACUGGCCCGGUACUGACACUGAGGUGCGAAAGCGUGGGGAGCAAAACA